UACGUAGGGGGCAAGCGUUAUCCGGAAUUACUGGGUGUAAAGGGAGCGUAGACGGUGAAGCAAGUCUGAAGUGAAAGCCCGGGGCUCAACUCCGGGACUGCUUUUGAAACUGCGUUGCUAGAUUGCGGGAGAGGCAAGUGGAAUUCCUAGUGUAGCGGUGAAAUGCGUAGAUAUUAGGAGGAACACCAGUGGCGAAGGCGGCCUGCUGGACGGUGACUGACGCUGAGGCUCGAAAGCGUGGGGAGCAAACAGG
RNAcentral lists this ribosomal RNA (253 nucleotides) under uncultured Coprococcus sp. RNAcentral describes it as "partial 16S ribosomal RNA". It matches the Rfam family "Bacterial small subunit ribosomal RNA", at positions 524 to 776 of the family's 1533-position model. Lineage: Bacteria; Bacillati; Bacillota; Clostridia; Lachnospirales; Lachnospiraceae. The record is from RNAcentral.